Non-coding RNA from Canis lupus familiaris (dog), 109 nucleotides. Lineage: Eukaryota; Metazoa; Chordata; Mammalia; Carnivora; Canidae. The record is from Rfam.
UUGUUCUCAUUUAGGCAACACAUGUACUAAAAUUGGAAUAAUACAGAGAAGAUUAGCAUGGCCCCUGAACAAGGAUGACACACAAAUUCGUGAAGUGUUCCAUAUUUUU